AGAGUUUGAUCCUGGCUCAGGAUGAACGCUAGCUACAGGCUUAACACAUGCAAGUCGAGGGGCAGCAUUAGGUAGCAAUACUGAGAUGGCGACCGGCGCACGGGUGCGUAACGCGUAUCCAACCUUCCCGUUACUCUUGGAUAGCCCUCCGAAAGGGAGAUUAAUACAAGAUGGUGUUUCAAAUUCGCAUGUAAAUGAAGCUAAAGAUUUAUCGGUAACGGAUGGGGAUGCGUUCCAUUAGCUUGUUGGCGGGGUAACGGCCCACCAAGGCAACGAUGGAUAGGGGUUCUGAGAGGAAGGUCCCCCACACUGGAACUGAGACACGGUCCAGACUCCUACGGGAGGCAGCAGUGAGGAAUAUUGGUCAAUGGUCGAGAGACUGAACCAGCCAAGUAGCGUGAAGGAUGAAGGUUCUAUGGAUUGUAAACUUCUUUUAUAAGGGAAUAAAACCGCCUACGUGUAGGUGCUUGUAUGUACCUUAUGAAUAAGCAUCGGCUAACUCCGUGCCAGCAGCCGCGGUAAUACGGAGGAUGCGAGCGUUAUCCGGAUUUAUUGGGUUUAAAGGGAGCGUAGACGGGAGAUUAAGUCAGUUGUGAAAGUCUGAGGCCCAACCUUAAAAUUGCAGUUGAUACUGGUUUCCUUGAGUGCGGUUGAGGUGUGUGGAAUUCGUGGUGUAGCGGUGAAAUGCUUAGAUAUCACGAAGAACUCCUAUUGCGAAGGCAGCACACUAAGCCGCUACUGACGUUGAGGCUCGAAAGUGUGGGUAUCAAACAGGAUUAGAUACCCUGGUAGUCCACACGGUAAACGAUGAAUACUCGCUGUUGGCGAUAUACGGUCAGCGGCCAAGCGAAAGCAUUAAGUAUUCCACCUGGGGAGUACGCCGGCAACGGUGAAACUCAAAGGAAUUGACGGGGGCCCGCACAAGCGGAGGAACAUGUGGUUUAAUUCGAUGAUACGCGAGGAACCUUACCCGGGCUUAAAUUGCACUGGACAGGCUCAGAGAUGGGCCCUUCUUCGGACCAGUGCGAAGGUGCUGCAUGGUUGUCGUCAGCUCGUGCCGUGAGGUGUCGGCUUAAGUGCCAUAACGAGCGCAACCCUUGCCUUUAGUUACUAACAGUUUAUGCUGAGGACUCUAAAGGGACUGCCAUCGUAAGAUGUGAGGAAGGUGGGGAUGACGUCAAAUCAGCACGGCCCUU
Molecule: ribosomal RNA, 1196 nt
Filed under: uncultured bacterium
Lineage: Bacteria
Description: bacterial SSU rRNA
Rfam family: Bacterial small subunit ribosomal RNA
Source: RNAcentral